AGCAGCAGCCAUGGGGAAGCCGGGCGUGGAGGCAGCACCGGGCUCGGAGCUGGCCAGGGUUCCCUAGCCUAUGGAGCACGCAGCCACCACAGGCCCCAGGCCUGGACCUCCCUCUCGGCGGGUGGAGAAUGUUGUGCUACGAGCCAAGGACUGGCUGCCAGGAGCUCCUGGGGGCACCGCAGUGUGGGCCACCAGCUUGGAAGCAGAGGUCCCACCAGAUCUAGCGCUCAAUAAGGAGCAGCAGCUGCAGAUCUCCAAGGAGCUGGUCGACAUUCAGAUCACAACCCACCACCUACAUGAGCAGCACGAGGCUGAAAUCUUCCAGCUGAAGAGUGAGAUCCUUCGGCUGGAGAGCCGGGUACUGGAGCUGGAGCUGCGAGGAGAUGGCACCAGCCAGGGCUGUGCAGUCCCAGUGGAGUCUGACCCCAGGCACCCCCGGGCAGCAGCCCAAGAGCUCAGACACAAAGCCCAGGUGCCUGGACACUCUGAUGACCACAGAUUCCAGGUGCAGCCCAAGAACACCAUGAAUCCCGAGAAUGAGCAGCACAGGCUGGGGAGCGGCCUGCAGGGGGAAGUGAAGCGGGUGCUGGAGCGUCAGGAGGCCUGGCAGCAGGCACUGGUGACGCGUGUGUGAGUGGCCAUCUCACCUGGGGCCCCAUCCUGGAGCAGAGAGAACCCCUGAUCGUGGGCCUGCUGAGCCUCACCCCCGUGUCUUCAGGGCAACCCUGGGCCGGCAGCUGCAGGGAGCCCGAGAGGAGGCCAGGGCAGCCGGGCAGCGACUGGCCACACAGGCUGUGGUGAGGCUCUGCCCUGACUGCUUGGAGACCUGGAGGGUGGGGGCCCCAGAAGCUCAGCCGGGGUCCACUCUCAGGGCACAGGUGGAGGGCUGCUUCCACCCCAGGUGCUGUGCAGCUGCCAAGGCCAGCUCCGUCAGGCAGAGGCCGAAAAUGCCCGGCUGCAGCUGCAGCUCAAGAAACUGAAGGAUGAGUACGUCCUACGGCUUCAGCACUGCGCCCGGCAGGCAGUGGUGAGCCCUGCAGGAGCACCCUGAGGCCUAGGGAGCCCAAGCCUGGCCUGGGUGUGCUGGAUAGCUUCAGGGAGACCCCAGGGCCCCAGCACUGCUCAGCCUGCUGGGGUGGGGGGAUGGUUGGAAAAGAUGGGGGGUG
This 1166-nucleotide small RNA is filed under the name Pan troglodytes (chimpanzee). RNAcentral's name for it is "retained intron". The record is from RNAcentral. Lineage: Eukaryota; Metazoa; Chordata; Mammalia; Primates; Hominidae.